RNAcentral lists this transfer RNA (70 nucleotides) under Aponsila sp. FS-2019. RNAcentral's name for it is "tRNA-Phe". The record is from RNAcentral. Lineage: Eukaryota; Metazoa; Arthropoda; Insecta; Hemiptera; Plataspidae.
ACUCAAAUAGCUUAAAUUUUAAAGCAUAAUAUUGAAGUUAUUAUGAUGAGGCUAUCAGCUUCUUUGGGUG